GUAACGCGUAGGUAAUCUACUCUUCAGUGGGGGAUACCCAGCCGAAAGGUUGGUUAAUACCGCAUACGCUCCUGUGCAGAGAGGUACAGGAGGAAAGGUUUACUGCUGAGGAAUGAGCCUGCGUCCGAUUAGCUAGUUGUGGGUAAAGGCUCACCAAGGCGACGAUCGGUAGCUGGUCUGAGAGGACGAUCAGCCACACUGGAACUGAGACACGGUCCAGACUCCUACGGGAGGCAGCAGUGGGGAAUUUUCCGCAAUGGGCGAAAGCCUGACGGAGCAACGCCGCGUAGGUGAUGAAGUUUUUCGGAACGUAAAACCCUUUCGCCAGGGACGAAGCGAGUGACGGUACCUGGAGAAGAAGCAUCGGCUAACUACGUG
RNAcentral lists this ribosomal RNA (378 nucleotides) under uncultured bacterium. Its description in RNAcentral is "bacterial SSU rRNA". It matches the Rfam family "Bacterial small subunit ribosomal RNA", at positions 110 to 507 of the family's 1533-position model. The record is from RNAcentral.